AGAGUUUGAUCAUGGCUCAGGACGAACGCUGGCGGCGUGCCUAACACAUGCAAGUCGAGCGAGGUAUUUGCGACUGAUUCCUUCGGGAAGAAGCUGCAAAUCACCUAGCGGCGGACGGGUGAGUAACGCGUGAGGAACCUACCUCCUACAAAGGGAUAGCCUCGGGAAACUGGGAUUAAUACCUUAUGACACUUAAGAGUCGCAUGACUUUUAAGUUAAAGCGUUUUAGCGGUAGGAGAUGGCCUCGCGUCCCAUUAGCUAGUUGGUGAGGUAACGGCUCACCAAGGCGACGAUGGGUAGCCGGCCUGAGAGGGUGGACGGCCACACUGGAACUGAGACACGGUCCAGACUCCUACGGGAGGCAGCAGUGGGGAAUAUUGCACAAUGGGCGGAAGCCUGAUGCAGCGACGCCGCGUGAGUGACGAAGGCCUUCGGGUCGUAAAACUCUGUCCUAAGGGACGAUAAUGACGGUACCUUAGGAGGAAGCCCCGGCUAACUACGUGCCAGCAGCCGCGGUAAUACGUAGGGGGCGAGCGUUGUCCGGAAUUAUUGGGCGUAAAGGGUGCGUAGGCGGCCUUUUAAGUCAGGUGUGAAAUCCAUGGGCUCAACCUGUGUAAGCACUUGAAACUGAAAGGCUUGAGUUAAGGAGAGGAAAGUGGAAUUCCUAGUGUAGCGGUGAAAUGCGUAGAUAUUAGGAGGAAUACCAGUGGCGAAGGCGACUUUCUGGCCUUUAACUGACGCUGAGGCACGAAAGCGUGGGGAGCAAACAGGAUUAGAUACCCUGGUAGUCCACGCCGUAAACGAUGAGUGCUAGGUGUUGGAGGGAUUACCCUUCAGUGCCGCAGCUAACGCAUUAAGCACUCCGCCUGGGGAGUACGUGCGCAAGCAUGAAACUCAAAUGAAUUGACGG
RNAcentral lists this ribosomal RNA (910 nucleotides) under uncultured bacterium. Its description in RNAcentral is "bacterial SSU rRNA". It matches the Rfam family "Bacterial small subunit ribosomal RNA", at positions 8 to 916 of the family's 1533-position model. The record is from RNAcentral.